AAAACUACAGGUAAAUUCUGCAAUUAGUAGACGUGUAAAUUUAG
This 44-nucleotide non-coding RNA is filed under the name Trypanosoma brucei brucei. The record is from RNAcentral. Lineage: Eukaryota; Euglenozoa; Kinetoplastea; Trypanosomatida; Trypanosomatidae.